GUUUGGAGAGGUUAGAGAGGGAGAGAGAUAGUUUGGAGAAUUAGGAAAGUGAGGAGGGAAGGAUCGGUGAUAUGGUCGAGCCAGCUAGGAAGAGGAGGAUUUCCCCUGUGUGGGAACACUCGAUGACUCCUAAUAAGCCACCAGAAAACAAGAGCUGGAUGAAGCCCUCGUCUCCAUGAUAGUGAAGGACACACAGCCCUUCAGUAUUGUCGAUGAUGUUGGAUUCAGGGCAUUUGUGUCCAAACUGGAUCCUAAUUAGGUUCUCUACCUACAAGGCAGGCUCUGAAGGCCAUGGUGGAGGCCAAGUAUGAGUCGGCUAAGAAGAAGGUCAAGGCUAAAGUAGAAAAGGUGGCUGCUGUUAGCCUUACUUCUGACAUGUGGACAUACAUCAAUGGGGAUGCCUACCUGGCUGUAACAUGCCAUUUUGUGGGUGAGAAAACCGCACUCAGUUCAGUGCUGUUAGGAGUGCAGGGAUUCCCCCAAUCACACACUGCUGAAAAUAUAGCUUGUGUGAAAGCCUCCUUGAUAGAGGAAUGGGAAUUGCUAGUUAGGUGACAUGUAUGGUCACUGAUGGUGCUCCCAAUAUGGUUGUCUGUGUGAGAGAGCUGAAGCUUCGGCACCAUAUUUGCAUUGCACACACACUGAAUCUGAAAUUGAAGAAGGCACUUGACCAGCAGCCUGUGCUCUCUGGCAUCCGGGCCAAAGCACGGAAGCUGGUUGGCUUCUUUAGAAGCAGCACCAGUGCUAAGGUAUGUUCUUUCCCUUUUAUUCCAAUUCCUAAUAACGCUAAGAGUUUGUCUGUGUUCCUACUGCAGUGAUUUAAUGGCCUACUCAUCUGUAUCUUUC
Gasterosteus aculeatus aculeatus (three-spined stickleback) is the source of this 846-nucleotide long non-coding RNA. Lineage: Eukaryota; Metazoa; Chordata; Actinopteri; Perciformes; Gasterosteidae. The record is from Ensembl.